Schistocerca gregaria is the source of this 1372-nucleotide long non-coding RNA. RefSeq lists it as uncharacterized. NCBI's taxonomy places the organism in Eukaryota, Metazoa, Arthropoda, Insecta, Orthoptera, Acrididae. The transcript has 2 exons. The record is from RefSeq and is a predicted model, not a curated record.
GCGACACCACAGUGGUGCCGUGUGCAUAGUAUCAUGCAGUGGCCGGCGACAGCACUGUAGUAUCUUUUGCAUUCUGUUGGUGUUUUGUUUAGGGGAGGAAUGUUCUGGCGUACCAACAAGCACCAGCAUGAAGACUAAGAUUGCAAGCACAAAGAAGGAGGUGAGACAUCAGCCAACAGCCCGCUGACCAAGUACCACACCACAACAGGAGCACACUCUAGCCGAAGAGAAUAUAAGCGCCACUUCUGUCAGUCUCAGGGACCGUAUUCACACAGGACUAUGAGAGCACUACAAUAGGAGUGACAAGGGAUCCAUAUGAAUUUCUUACAUGAACCUCGUAUACAGCAAAGGACUUCGAUUGAUUGAAUUUCACCCAUAGCUUGUGACACCGUUGUAAAUUCAAAGUGAAGCAUUGUCAGUCUCAUUAUUUGUAAUAAGAACUAUUAAUGUGAUUUGCUUGAAUUGUUGUACAGCAUUCCAAGAAUGCAGCAUCCUUUAGGCACCCUAUACAAGAUGAGUGGGCAGGAUCCCACAGUUCUGACUGCAUAAUAUAUGUUAACAGUAUCUUAAAAUCCUGGGUGUGAGUAUGAACAUGCAACAUCUAAGUUUAACUGCUCCAUACACCCCACUUACUGGAUAUUAUAAUUAUGUUGUCAACUUUCUGCACAACAAUGAUGAGGACACCAUGCUUAUUACAAUAUUCUGCCACUGUCUGAAGCUUUUACUGUGAUGUUCAACAAAUAGUGUGUCACUGAAUGAAGAUUAGAUUAUUAAAUAUUUGGUAUGUUAACGGAGGGAAAGGUGCGAUUCUCUUUAGCUGUAGGAACAUUGUACUAUGAGACUGGAACUGGCCAUCCAAACUGCUACAAUGCCAAUAAAGUGUGAAAAGUCACUAAAAUUCAAUUAGUGUUUGGAGUUCAUAAUUUAGCACUGUUCUUACUGAAGGCAGUUUUCAGCAUAUUAUUCCACAAAAAUCAAGAUAUGUGACUUCAAGACAUGUAUAUGUGAGUGCAGCUCAGGCAAGGGGAACACCAUACAGUCACACGAUCUAGAUGCAGCAAGAACUUCUGAAACAGCAGGUCGCCAUUUUUUCUGUAGAUGGGAGUAAUGCUGUGAGCUGUGCUGCAUGCAAUGUGGUGUAGCAGUUAGCAAUGCUGGAUGGCAUUCUGUGAUUUGCCAGUUCAGAUCCAAUCACCAGCAAUUAUUUGUUAUUUAGUAUUUAUCACUUCUGUAAUGUGCUCAAAAUUUCUUGUUUGUAAUGUUUGCAUAUUCUGGAAUAUUCAGUGUUUGUAUAAAUAACAGCACUCUGAGUUCAAGAGUUCAGUUCUGUUCAGUCUGUACAAUGGUAUUUGUAAUAAACCUGCUUUCACUA